UUAGAGAGAUACCUUUAAACUAGUAAGGCUUGCUACAACUAAUUGCAGAUUAAAUAGAUACGAACGCUUAAUCCAAAGUUGUAUGUUAACAUUAUGAACCUUGAACUCUGUUAUAUUGAUCAUGGCCAUUUGAUGACGGACAGGUGUACAGUACUUGUUUGAAAUGAAAACCUAUAUUUUAGCAAAAGAAUGAAUUAACGAUAGCCAUAAAAAAUUGUUUUAAUUGUCAUAAAAGGCUGAAAAUAUAAAGAAUUAUUUAAUGGAAAUUACCUUCCCCUUAUAAUAAAAAAUUUGGUAGGACUUGGUCAUUCAGCAAGGUAUGUUAAGCCAAUGUUUUCUACAAUUUACUAACAUAAAUCUUAUUAGUAAGAAGCUAUAAGUAUAUUUUGUUUGCCCUGAUUCAUAUUUCUUUUUAGUUCUAAUUCAUUCUCAAUAUCUUUUCUCUUUGCAGGUUAGAGUUUAUGUCGAUAUUGCAUUUCCCCAAAAUAACUCUUUUUGUAAGUGUUGCUGCAUAAAUUUAAUUUGAGUUCCUACGUAUCUCUUUUAUUUUUAUAAUAUCCAUCUAAUUGUUAAUACAAAAGGUAUAUGAUUGAUAUUCAGAUGCAAUAUCACAAACCGAAGGCUAGCUUAAUGACUCUUAGACUACAGGAGGAUAAAGACUAUGGCAAGUAGACCAACGUAGCCCUGAUGACUCUCUUUUGUGCUUUGUUGUUAUAAUUAUCUUUUUGUUGGAGUUGUUAUGUAGACUACUCUUUCUAGCUCCUUUUUUUGGUUGUUACUAAGUUCAUGUUAAGCAAGUUGUCAUAGACAAAUUAUAAUUGUGCUCAGUGAUUGUGGCACAGCUCAUGGGUUGGAACAUGCCAAGUAAUUUUGCUGUAAACUGUGCUAUGAACUUGGGUGGUUUCUGUACCUAGCGCUUGCAGCAGGGAAAUGUUUUUAUGUUUCACGUUACAUAAAUAUAAUAGAUUGGAUGAUAGUAGAAAAUGGUAUAUAUUCUAACAUUCAGUUUUUCUGAUAAUCCAUAUGGUUUCUCAGCUUUAUUAACAAAGAUGAAUGAAAAGAUGGACACAGUUCAAUUUGUUUGGAGGUCUAUAUAGAAUUGAAGCUUUGUGUAUUUAUCAUAUCAAGAAGUACGGAACUAAAACUUUUUUAAAUUUAUGGCCUGCUAUGGCAUGUCCAUGACUUCUACUUGAAAAUUUCAUUCACAUCCUUUUUUUCUCCUUUCCUAUUCAAUACUUCUAUUAUAUGUUCUUUUCAAAUGCCUCUUCAAAUAUGUCCAUGUGUACUUGUGCAAAUAAUCAGGUUUUUUUUCCUAUAGAUUUAGAAUUGUACUUUAUAUUUGUUCCAACCAUUCAAAAACCAAUCUCGUGAACCAAGAAAAAACAAAACCAAUCAACCAUAUUAGCACCGAAAAUCCUCAUAUGACAGCCAAUAAAUGUAAAAAUAACAUCACAAUGAUAAUGACAAUAUUGUGAAUAAGAAUGACACGUAUAAUCAAUUUCGGCCUUAACUGGCAGAAACCACCUCAGUCAGUUUCAAAUCGUUUCAGGCUGAAACUGAUCUAUUUUACCCAAAAUGGAUCAGUUUUGACUGAAACUUAAGUCCUUGAUUGCAGUUAUAAUCUCAUCUAACCACAGAUACUUACCACAUGUAAUUUCCUAAGUAUAUUGCUAACCAUUCAAUAUGCCUUUGAUGUACUUUCUUGAUACUCACCACAUAACCUGUAGUGUAACUAUAUCAUAUGUUUUCUCCGAGUAAACCCAAAAAAGGGAGAGGAGGAAUAGAUUUUGCUUGCAUUCUGUAAUUUUCAUUAGAUAACUAGUCAAAGAAAUAAUCUUGAUGAUUAGUCUUUCUAGUUUUCAUAAUAUGUACUAAAAUAUUUCUCCAAUUAGUAAGCAUUUCCUGACUUUCAAGAUUGCAUGAAUACAACUAAUUAGCAAACUCAAUCCAACUUGUCAUAAUAUGUUGACAUAAUGAUGUUGUCUACAGAAAAAAUAAGUUCCAAGCACUACUAAUUUGGCAUUUAGCAUUACCUUGAUGAUUGUUGUUCAUAUCAAUUAUAUGAUCCUUCAAGGCCUUUCUUCGCUUAAUACAAUUCAUCCAAUGUCUUGGCAUGUUGUGUGUUGCUUGGCUUUUUCUUCUUGUAGAGUCCUUUUCCAAUAAUGUUCGCAAACCUUUUUUAAGACAUUUGCUUUAGAAGUCACACAAGCACUUUUGUUAGGUAAUGCCAGGCAUGCUCUUAUAUAACAGCAAUAAGCACAGAUCAAAGCAUUACACCUUCAGGCAGUUUAAUCAAUUUCCCUAAUAUCUACAUACAACUUCCUAGCAGCAUCAGACCACAAAUUCUAUGAUUUUUUUCUUAUAAAGAGUAUUCCUACAAUAUGCAUUUGCCAAUAGCAAGAAAGACAAUCUACAUGGUCUAAAGCAUUUGCAAGAUGGAGGAAGAGAGAAGCUCUAUUUUCUUUUCCAGAUGAAAAUAGAAUGUCUUGUCUUCUCAUUGCUUCAACUCAAUGUCAUUCAAGAUAUGCACUAAUUAAACUGAAAAGGGAGAAAUGUUACCUUUCCUUCUUCCUAGUCAUCAGAAACUUACUGAUAUAGGACAGCAUAAUCACGGACACCACUACCUAGCGCAAUGUCACACAACCCCCAUGUCUUAGUAGCUAAAAUAUUCCACCUUGGGUGAUGCGCCCACUUCAGAAUCUUUGUGGAAUCUCAAAUCAGCACCCACUUCCUAAGUGCUCUCUUACUUCAGAUGUUUUUAAAAUAUCUGCUUCCCUGCCUUCACCCAUAUCUACUCCCAAUUCUAGUAAUCAAGCCUUAUACAGCUACCUCUUUAAUAUCUCUUUUUUCUUUUGAGAAAAAAAGAUCACACUAUGAUAUUUAAAGCCAUUUCAUUUAGUCUUCAACUGCAUAUACAUGCUUCACCUUGUUAAACAUGCCCAAAACUAAAAUCCUAGGCAAAAAAGGAUUUCAGCAAGUAUUACAAAAACAUGUUUAAUUAUGAUAGUUUACAUGAUUGCUCCCUGUUACUCAAUUUAUAGUGUCUUCAAAGCAAGCAACUCAUAAGUUGCAUAUUACUCUCUAGGAAAAGACCUAGAACCAGUACUGAAUACUUAAAUUACACUGCAUUCGCUUGUUUAUAGCAAAGAAGAAGAAGAAGAAAGUCUGCCUUCUUCUUCUUCUUCUUCUUUAAAGAUCAUCUCCACCCCAACCCUUGUCACAUUGGACCUGCUUUGACACUGAGAAAAAGAUAAUAAGCUUUUUUUUCCCUUUUGUUUCUUCUUUUUAUGGUGUUGGUGGUUUUAGGGUGGUAUACAAGUGUGUUUAAGAAUUUAAAUACAAAUUAAGAAUUUAUCCUUGUUCCAUACUUAAAUGAAAUCAAUGAGCAACAUAUCUAAAGACCCUAUAAACAAUCAAUGUCAUAUGCCCAACAUAAACUAUAUAACCUAAAAAUCCAAGUAAAACUUGCAUAGUUCUUUCUGGAGAUGGCUUCCACUUCUCCGCAUGAGAAUUCAACACCUUAGCAUGUAACACACAAUGAAUAGGUGCAUCUUCACUUGAAGUAACAAGACUUCUCCACCCAUCACCUCGAUCAUUUAUUUUCUCCCACCUUCAAGAACAUUCACCAUGAGCUCUCUUUGAGGAAAGAAAACCAGCUUCUAUUCAUCUUUUCUAGUGCACGUCCUUAUCUUCUCUCUUCACUUCAAAGAUCCCUCCAAAACUCCCCUUCUCUAUGAACUUCAUUGUCUCUUCCUCAGUCCAUCUACUUAAUUUCUUUCAUCACUUUUAAUCUAUAUAUGAAUGGUACUUUUCUUGAGUCUAUGAAAAUCAGCUGCUCUAUUUAACAACAAGAAUUUAUGUCUACAAACUUCAUAUAUUACAUGCAUAUCAUCCGAAACCUUCCUGCUUCCCAUAAUUUUUCAUCUAUGAGGGAAGAAUUCAACACCAAUCAAGAUCCCUUCAAACUCCAUUAACAUCAUUUCACACUUGGAAAUCUACAAACUUCUCACGAAAGGGUACCUCAUUGGAAAGUAUUCACGCAAUUGUACCUGGAUACACCAAAUUUUGGAUUGUGUGGAUACUUGGGACACUUUAUGACACUCCUUGACACUUCAUAUCAUCAAAUCAACUUGUUAACUCCAACAUGAUAUUUAUCAAAGGUUUUUUCAGAUUCACAAAACUUUUCGACUGGUUAAUCCAACUAAUUAUUCAUCAUGUGCAUAAAUCUGUACAUAUUUGUACACACAUCUACAUCAUACAGAAGCAACGACAUGUUGGAUUUCUUUAAGGUUUCCAUGUCAGAUUCAAGAGUACCAUGCCCUGUGGUUAUGAAGCCAUCAUCCCAAACCUUGCAAGUUAAGAUGUAAUUGCAAGACAUUAACAAGUAAAACAAUAUCAAGUUUAUCAAGAAACAUUCCCUCAUAGCAAUUAUCCCAACCUUUCUUUUCCCUUUCUUCUCUAAAUCUGGAAAGGAUAUUUAAUUAAUUACCACUAAAUUUGCCUUCUUUUGUACCUUUCUUUUGCUUUCUAACAAAAGGAAGAAAAAAGAACAAACAAAGAAAAGAAAGAUCAAACGAGGAUGUUCAACAACUGCUUCAAUGAAAGCAAGAGAGAUUAAGAGGCUACACUAGAAGGAGAAGCAAUUGGUACCUUAAAUUUGGCAUGUUUGAGUAUGGGAACAUCGCCGGUCGCCCUCAGGUGAACUACAACUGCACGCAAUAGGAGAAGGUCAGCACUCAGCAAUGAACAGAUAGAUAGAUAGAGAGAGAGAGAGAGAGAGAG
Molecule: long non-coding RNA, 4782 nt
Filed under: Phoenix dactylifera (date palm)
Lineage: Eukaryota; Viridiplantae; Streptophyta; Magnoliopsida; Arecales; Arecaceae
Description: long non-coding RNA (PDAC_LNC001257)
Source: RNAcentral